AUUGAACGCUGGCGGCAGGCCUAACACAUGCAAGUCGGACGGUAGCACAGAGAGCUUGCUCUUGGGUGACGAGUGGCGGACGGGUGAGUAAUGUCUGGGGAUCUGCCCGAUAGAGGGGGAUAACCACUGGAAACGGUGGCUAAUACCGCAUAACGUCGCAAGACCAAAGAGGGGGACCUUCGGGCCUCUCACUAUCGGAUGAACCCAGAUGGGAUUAGCUAGUAGGCGGGGUAAUGGCCCACCUAGGCGACGAUCCCUAGCUGGUCUGAGAGGAUGACCAGCCACACUGGAACUGAGACACGGUCCAGACUCCUACGGGAGGCAGCAGUGGGGAAUAUUGCACAAUGGGCGCAAGCCUGAUGCAGCCAUGCCGCGUGUAUGAAGAAGGCCUUCGGGUUGUAAAGUACUUUCAGCGGGGAGGAAGGCGGUGAGGUUAAUAACCCCACCGAUUGACGUUACCCGCAGAAGAAGCACCGGCUAACUCCGUGCCAGCAGCCGCCGUAA
RNAcentral lists this ribosomal RNA (504 nucleotides) under uncultured bacterium. RNAcentral describes it as "partial 16S ribosomal RNA". It matches the Rfam family "Bacterial small subunit ribosomal RNA", at positions 29 to 523 of the family's 1533-position model. The record is from RNAcentral.